This 68-nucleotide small RNA is filed under the name Thermomonospora echinospora. Its description in RNAcentral is "Actinomadura echinospora ASdes TB sRNA". It matches the Rfam family "ASdes TB sRNA". Lineage: Bacteria; Bacillati; Actinomycetota; Actinomycetes; Streptosporangiales; Thermomonosporaceae. The record is from Rfam by way of RNAcentral.
AGCUCGACCGGGUCGACGGCCCGCGUCACCGUCAGGUAGUCGCGGAUCACGAUGCCGUGCCGGUUCUC